AUUGAACGCUGGCGGCAGGCUUAACACAUGCAAGUCGAGCGAGCGGCGGACGGGUGAGAUAUGGUUGGGAAACUGCUUGAGGGAGGGGGAUAACUACUGGAAACGGUAGCCAAUACCGCAAUCCAUCAGAUGCGCCUAGAUGGGAUUAGCUAGUAGGUGGUGUAAUGUCUCACCUAGGCGACGAUCCCUAGCUGGUCUGAGCGGAUGACCGGCCACCCUGGAACUGAGACACGGUCCCGAUUCCUACGUGAGGCAGCAGUGAGGAAUAUUGCACAAUGGGCGCAAGCCUGAUGCAGCCAUGCCGCGUGUGUGAAGAAGGCCUUCGGGUUGUAAAGCACUUUCAGCGAGGAGGCGUUACUCACAGAAGAAGCACCGGCUAACUCCGUGCCAGCAGCCGCGGUAAUUC
Molecule: ribosomal RNA, 406 nt
Filed under: uncultured bacterium
Lineage: Bacteria
Description: partial 16S ribosomal RNA
Rfam family: Bacterial small subunit ribosomal RNA
Source: RNAcentral